Molecule: ribosomal RNA, 253 nt
Filed under: uncultured bacterium
Lineage: Bacteria
Description: partial 16S ribosomal RNA
Rfam family: Bacterial small subunit ribosomal RNA
Source: RNAcentral
UACGGAGGGUGCAAGCGUUAAUCGGAAUUACUGGGCGUAAAGCGCGCGUAGGCGGUUUGGUAAGUCAGAUGUGAAAGCCCCGGGCUUAACCUGGGAAUUGCAUUCGAUACUGCCAGACUAGAGUGUAUUAGAGGAAAGUGGAAUUCCGGGUGUAGCGGUGAAAUGCGUAGAUAUCCGGAGGAACAUCAGUGGCGAAGGCGACUUUCUGGGAUAACACUGACGCUGAGGUGCGAAAGCGUGGGGAGCAAACAGG